This 665-nucleotide ribosomal RNA is filed under the name uncultured Micromonosporaceae bacterium. RNAcentral describes it as "bacterial SSU rRNA". It matches the Rfam family "Bacterial small subunit ribosomal RNA", at positions 136 to 816 of the family's 1533-position model. Lineage: Bacteria; Bacillati; Actinomycetota; Actinomycetes; Micromonosporales; Micromonosporaceae. The record is from RNAcentral.
CUUUGGGAUAACCCUCGGAAACGGGGGCUAAUACCGGAUAUGACGCUUCAUCGCAUGGUGGGGUGUGGAAAGUUUUUCGGCUUGGGAUGGGCUCGCGGCCUAUCAGCUUGUUGGUGGGGUGAUGGCCUACCAAGGCGACGACGGGUAGCCGGCCUGAGAGGGCGACCGGCCACACUGGGACUGAGACACGGCCCAGACUCCUACGGGAGGCAGCAGUGGGGAAUAUUGCACAAUGGGCGGAAGCCUGAUGCAGCGACGCCGCGUGAGGGAUGACGGCCUUCGGGUUGUAAACCUCUUUCAGCGGGGACGAAGCGUGAGUGACGGUACCUGCAGAAGAAGCGCCGGCCAACUACGUGCCAGCAGCCGCGGUAAGACGUAGGGCGCGAGCGUUGUCCGGAUUUAUUGGGCGUAAAGAGCUCGUAGGCGGCUUGUCGCGUCGACUGUGAAAACCCGCGGCUCAACUGCGGGCCUGCAGUCGAUACGGGCAGGCUAGAGUUCGGUAGGGGAGACUGGAAUUCCUGGUGUAGCGGUGAAAUGCGCAGAUAUCAGGAGGAACACCGGUGGCGAAGGCGGGUCUCUGGGCCGAUACUGACGCUGAGGAGCGAAAGCGUGGGGAGCGAACAGGAUUAGAUACCCUGGUAGUCCACGCUGUAAACGUUGGGCGC